GAACGCUGGCGGCGUGCCUAAUACAUCCAAGUCGAGCGAACGGACGAGAAGCUUGCUUCUCUGAUGUUAGCGGCGGACGGGUGAGUAACACGUGGAUAACCUACCUCUAAGACUGGGUUAACUUCGGGAAACCGGAGCUAAUACCGGAUAAUAUUUUGAACCGCAUGGUUCAAAAGUGAAAGACGGUCUUGCUGUCACUUAUAGAUUGAUCCGCGCUGCAUUAGCUAGUUGGUAAGGUAACGGCUUACCAAGGCAACGAUGCAUAGCCGACCUGAGAGGGUGAUCGACCACAAUGGAACUGAGACACGGUCCAGACUCCUACGGGAGGCAGCAGUAGGGAAUCUUCCGCAAUGGGCGAAAGCAUGACGGAGCAACGCCGCGUGAGUGAUGAAGGUCUUCGGAUCGUAAAACUCUGUUAUUAGGGAAGAACAUAUGUGUAAGUAACUGUGCACAUCUUGACGGUACCUAAUCAGAAAGCCACGGCUAACUACGUG
RNAcentral lists this ribosomal RNA (494 nucleotides) under uncultured bacterium. Its description in RNAcentral is "partial 16S ribosomal RNA". It matches the Rfam family "Bacterial small subunit ribosomal RNA", at positions 31 to 507 of the family's 1533-position model. The record is from RNAcentral.